Molecule: ribosomal RNA, 330 nt
Filed under: uncultured bacterium
Lineage: Bacteria
Description: bacterial SSU rRNA
Rfam family: Bacterial small subunit ribosomal RNA
Source: RNAcentral
CGCGUAGGCGGCCUCGUCCGUCCGGCGUGAAAUGCCUGGGCUCAACCUAGGAAUUGCGCUCGAUACAGCAGGCUAGAGUGUGGGAGAGGUUGGUGGAAUUCCCAGUGUAGAGGUGAAAUUCGUAGAUAUUGGGAAGAACACCGGUGGCGAAGGCGGCCAACUGGACCACAACUGACGCUGAGGCGCGAAAGCGUGGGGAGCAAACAGGAUUAGAUACCCUGGUAGUCCACGCUGUAAACUAUGUGUGCUUGACGUCGGGGGGCAUAGCCCUUCGGUGUCGGAGCUAACGCGGUAAGCGACACCGCCUGGGGAGUACGGUCGCAAGAUUAA